GUUUAAAUAAUUUAAAUAAAAAUAUUAGUCUUGUAAACUAAAUUUAAGAAAAUUACUCUUUUUAAACU
This 68-nucleotide transfer RNA is filed under the name Pityogenes trepanatus. RNAcentral's name for it is "tRNA-Thr". Lineage: Eukaryota; Metazoa; Arthropoda; Insecta; Coleoptera; Curculionidae. The record is from RNAcentral.